Molecule: unclassified non-coding RNA, 418 nt
Filed under: Hevea brasiliensis (rubber tree)
Lineage: Eukaryota; Viridiplantae; Streptophyta; Magnoliopsida; Malpighiales; Euphorbiaceae
Source: RNAcentral
CUUUGGAGGCAUAAAAACAGUUCCUAAAUAUAGAUAUGCAGCAUAAAUCACUACUAGAUAGAUAUUCAAAAAAUAAAAUAGAAAAGAAACAACUAGAAGUUACCUAAAUACUACACAAGUUAUCAAAUGUAAUUGUUUAACACUUUGAGCAAAACUCACCAUGCAAUUCUUUUUUUUUUCCUAAAAUUAGAUAUAGAUGCCAUGAUCUUUGUCUAAAUUUCAACCUUUGAUUCCCCCUCUUCACCAUUUCUACCAACUAUUAGUCUAUCAGUAGUCAUGUUAUGAAAAAAUUUGCAAAUACCAAUGUUUAUUUAAGUUUAACUAAUAAAAGUUGAGGAAAAAUAUGUGCUAAGAAAAAUUUUGCUCGAAUUUAUUUUCCAGCACAUGUUAAUUGGGACCGGCUAUGUUAUAUGGUAGU